AGGAACUUCCUGGGAUCAGUUACGAAACCAGUUAGUGCAGAAGCUGCUGCAGUAUACGGAGAAGCAAGAUAUAUCUGGCCUUCUAUGUGCCCCAUCCGACCAGGGAAAUUUCGAUUUGUUGUUGAGACACAGACCUGCAUAGAGUGUCCUUUCAUCGGUUACAUCGAAAGCAAAAACAAUAACACAUUCAAAAUAUAUAGGAAGUUUCUCGGCAUUUAUCUAUAGCUGCUCCAGAAAAUACAAGCCAGCCUUUUCUAAGGAAUUUGACUUUAGCAGAAGGGCAGUGGCGUUAACUGGAAUAUGACCCAACUACGUUUUGGGUUUUGUAUUUGGCUCUGAGCAAUAAUUUUUAUCACAUGAUGUUUCCAAGAGAUCCAACUAUUUUAGGUUUACCUGGGGUUCAUUCAAACGUCCAAAUGUGUCUCUUGGGCCACCCAUACAUGCAGCACAACUAGGACUUGCUGGAGGAUCACAUCCAGCUUCUUCAAAAAUCUUUGAACAAGUCUUGCCACCUGAACCAGCAUGACAGAUUGCAAACAUAGACAUGAAAGUCACUGCAGGAUUGUCAUCCUUCAUGAAGAGAAGUGAUUGUUUCAAGCCCUCCCCAAAAUGGAUCCAUUCUCCACCAUAAAAUAUAUGCAGUUUGUAUGUUAUAAAGAAUAUGAAGUAUAAUAAGAAAUUGUAAUA
This is a long non-coding RNA of Vigna radiata var. radiata (mung bean), 687 nucleotides long. RefSeq lists it as uncharacterized. Lineage: Eukaryota; Viridiplantae; Streptophyta; Magnoliopsida; Fabales; Fabaceae. The transcript is spliced from 3 exons. The record is from RefSeq and is a predicted model, not a curated record.